GACCGCGUAGCUCAGUUGGCAGAGCAUUGGACUAGUAUUCCAAAGGUCGUAGACUCGUAGGUUCGAUUCCCACCGUAGCCG
This 81-nucleotide transfer RNA is filed under the name Paramuricea clavata. It matches the Rfam family "tRNA". From Rfam's summary of the family: Transfer RNA (tRNA) molecules are approximately 80 nucleotides in length. Their secondary structure includes four short double-helical elements and three loops (D, anti-codon, and T loops). Further hydrogen bonds mediate the characteristic L-shaped molecular structure. tRNAs have two regions of fundamental functional importance: the anti-codon, which is responsible for specific mRNA codon recognition, and the 3' end, to which the tRNAs corresponding amino acid is attached (by aminoacyl-tRNA synthetases). tRNAs cope with the degeneracy of the genetic code in two manners: having more than one tRNA (with a specific anti-codon) for a particular amino acid; and 'wobble' base-pairing, i.e. permitting non-standard base-pairing at the 3rd anti-codon position. Lineage: Eukaryota; Metazoa; Cnidaria; Anthozoa; Malacalcyonacea; Plexauridae. The record is from Rfam by way of RNAcentral.